This 229-nucleotide ribosomal RNA is filed under the name uncultured Glomeraceae. RNAcentral's name for it is "partial small subunit ribosomal RNA". It matches the Rfam family "Eukaryotic small subunit ribosomal RNA", at positions 547 to 772 of the family's 1831-position model. Lineage: Eukaryota; Fungi; Glomeromycota; Glomeromycetes; Glomerales; Glomeraceae. The record is from RNAcentral.
UUUGGAGGGCAUAUCUGGUGCCAGCAGCCGCGGUAAUUCCAGCUCCAAUAGCGUAUAUUAAAGUUGUUGCAGUUAAAAAGCUCCGUAGUUGAAUUUUCGGGAUUGACGUAAUGGUCACGCCUUAAGGGGUAUGAACUGUUACUGUUGAUUUCUCACCUUCUGGAAAAACUUGAUGUCCUUAAUUGGAUGUCUUGCGGAUCCAGGACCUUUACCUUGAAAAAAUUAGAGU